CACGUAGGGCGCGAGCGUUGUCCGGAAUUAUUGGGCGUAAAGAGCUCGUAGGCGGCCUGUUGCGUCCGCUGUGAAAGCCCGGGGCUUAACCCCGGGUCUGCAGUGGAUACGGGCAGGCUAGAGGUAGGUAGGGGAGAAUGGAAUUCCCGGUGUAGCGGUGAAAUGCGCAGAUAUCAGGAGGAACACCGGUGGCGAAGGCGGGUCUCUGGGCAAUAACUGACGCUGAGGAGCGAAAGCGUGGGGAGCGAACAGG
This 253-nucleotide ribosomal RNA is filed under the name uncultured bacterium. Its description in RNAcentral is "partial 16S ribosomal RNA". It matches the Rfam family "Bacterial small subunit ribosomal RNA", at positions 524 to 776 of the family's 1533-position model. The record is from RNAcentral.